CGUUGACCUCCCUGAACUCCCGAAACAAUGGUGCAAAUUGUCCCUCGCGUUAAACGGCUGUUUAACGCCGUUUAACUUAUUUUUUUUUUAAACAACUCUCUAUCUCUCUAUCUCUCUCUCUUCCACUGGCUCAGAUGGUCGUCGCCCCUCAAUUGCGCCGCGGCAAAGGCGCCGCCAUCGCGACUCAGGAAACCGCUCAAAUUUGACUAAAAAUCUAUAUCUCCAAAAAUUUCUACCGUUACUCGACUUCUCACCUUUCUUCUCCUAAAAUUCUCUGCCAACAACAGAGCACAAGUUGUCACCGCUUCUUCCCUAAACAGCCCCCAAUAUUCCAUCAAAACAGGUUGUCAGUCUGAAGUCCCCAAAACCGUCGUAUUCACCAUCAUAUUUUCUUUCUCUCUCUAGAAAAAUACACUAGAAAAAUAUCCAUUAAACCUGCACCGCUAAUCUCUUCAAAAAAAAUGGUGAAUAUCAUCUCUUAGACACGGCCACUCUCAUGAAUUCCCUUUAUUUCCACUCAAUCCAUCAAUCUAAUAGAAAAUAAAAGAUCUAAAAUUUGAAAUCACAAAAUUGUAGCCUACCACCAUCACCGGUGCCUCCCCAAAAUCGGUGGUUAAUCGCCGUCGUUCUCUGCCAAAAUUCUAAAGCACCAUUGCUCGAAGCUAUACAACCAUAUUCUGGAAGACUCCCUAAAAAAACAACCACGGCUCAGAGAGAGCAUCGUUCUUUCUCUUUCGAAUUCCCCAGCAAUCUUCUCAGUCCAAAUAUGUGAUCAUCGCCGGCGAGUCGGACUCCGUCGUGAAAGGUGUGAUGCUAUUUCCAGAAC
RNAcentral lists this long non-coding RNA (826 nucleotides) under Salvia miltiorrhiza (redroot sage). RNAcentral's name for it is "long non-coding RNA (SMIL_LNC002264)". Lineage: Eukaryota; Viridiplantae; Streptophyta; Magnoliopsida; Lamiales; Lamiaceae. The record is from RNAcentral.